UGGGGAAUAUUGCACAAUGGGGGAAACCCUGAUGCAGCGACGCCGCGUGAGCGAAGAAGGUUUUCGAAUCGUAAAGCUCUGUCCUAUGAGAAGAUAAUGACGGUAUCAUAGGAGGAAGCCCCGGCUAAAUACGUGCCAGCAGCCGCGGUAAUACGUAUGGGGCGAGCGUUGUCCGGAAUUAUUGGGCGUAAAGAGCUUGUAGGCGGUUCGUCGCGUCUGGUGUGAAAGCCCAUCGCUUAACGGUGGGUUUGCGCCGGGUACGGGCGGGCUAGAGUGCAGUAGGGGAGACUGGAAUUCCCGGUGUAACGGUGGAAUGUGUAGAUAUCGGGAAGAACACCAAUGGCGAAGGCAGGUCUCUGGGCUGUUUCUGACGCUGAGAAGCGAAAGCGUGGGGAGCGAACAGG
This 404-nucleotide ribosomal RNA is filed under the name Verrucomicrobiota bacterium. RNAcentral's name for it is "Verrucomicrobia bacterium partial 16S ribosomal RNA". It matches the Rfam family "Bacterial small subunit ribosomal RNA", at positions 355 to 776 of the family's 1533-position model. The record is from RNAcentral. Lineage: Bacteria; Pseudomonadati; Verrucomicrobiota.